GCCAUAUUACAUUGAGCUACUAGAAUUUUCAGGUCACUGAUAUCCCUGGUAUCGUGAGGAGGCAUGAUGGUAUGACUCAGGCCUUUAUGUUUAAUAUAGGUAUCAUUGCUCUUGAAGGACAGUUUCAUCGAAUCCUUCCCCUAUCGAGAUCAACCAUUUAUGAAGCUCUUCCUGGACACACAGCUCUUCUCUGUACAUACAGAUUUUGUACUUCCUUUCUUCCAAAAUGAAUAGGGUGAUGUACACACAGAAUAGUUCUAUUGCAAUCUGUAUUUAUAAUUAUAUGAUUAUUAUUAUUCUUAACAUAAAAUUUUUGUUUAAUCAUAUGCCAUAGUAGAUGUCACCCUUCUCCUUGCUGUGUUACAAA
Molecule: long non-coding RNA, 367 nt
Organism: Ipomoea nil (Japanese morning glory)
Lineage: Eukaryota; Viridiplantae; Streptophyta; Magnoliopsida; Solanales; Convolvulaceae
Exons: 3
Source: RefSeq, a predicted model, not a curated record